CUCCUUUAUCCAGCUUGGGUCUUUGAAGAGAUGGUAAAUAGGUAAUCAGCCAGACAAUGGGUCUCUCUCUGAGGAUGGAUCCAGAGGAAACUGCCAUCUCUGUCACACAAAGAUCACAGUAUUUUACAAGGGGUCAACUUGAGUAGCAAGCUGAAGGUGUGGGCAAUUUACACACAGAAAGAAGUGCAAUGGGGCUUUAUUAUUAAUUAUUAUUAUUAUUAAUUAUAUUUUUAACAAACACAUUGCUAACUCCAAAUUACCAAAAUGUACAAUCCAGUUAUUGCCUCUUCAGAAACGAUUAAUGGUGUCUGUAUUUUUAGCAAAGUACUGUAUUUUGUGGCUCUGUCAUUAUUGAAAAUUAUGGUAACAGUGCAAUCUCAGGCAUAUGAGCUAUUAACAUUUUAAUGACAUUUACAAAACAAUUAAUAAAUCAAAAUGAUAUAACAUAUUCCUAAAAACUGUGACACAAUUCUGUCAUAUUUUAUCCUAAAAUCAUUAAACACAUUUAGGGUAAUCAUCUGAAAAAGAAAAGAUGGAAACCUUUUUUUUUUUUUUUUUUUUUUACAAUUGAUAAACACAUCUAAUUCUUUUCUUAUGUGCAGCUUUGAUUAUACAACUAUGAUUCUCCUUUGUCACUUUGAUGAUCAAGUGCAUUGUUCUAAAAAUGUCUGUACUUUUUGUAU
Molecule: long non-coding RNA, 683 nt
Organism: Chelonia mydas (Green sea turtle)
Lineage: Eukaryota; Metazoa; Chordata; Testudines; Cheloniidae
Exons: 3
Source: RefSeq, a predicted model, not a curated record